AGAGUUUGAUCAUGGCUCAGACCGAACGUUAGCGGCGCGCCUAACACAUGCAAGUCGCACGAGAAAGGGCUUCGGCCCCGGUACAGUGGCGCACGGGUGAGUAACACGUGGGUAAUGUUCCCUCGGGCGGGGGAUAACCUUCCGAAAGGAGGGCUAAUACCGCAUAAGACCACGUCUCCGAGAGGGGAUGAGGUCAAAGCAGGCCUCUUCAUGAAAGCUUGCACCUGAGGAUCAGCCCGCGGCCCAUCAGCUAGUUGGUAGGGUAACGGCCUACCAAGGCUAAGACGGGUAGCUGGUCUGAGAAGGAUGAUCAGGCCACACUGGAACUGAGACACGGUCCAGACUCCUACGGGAGGCAGCAGUGGGGAAUCUUGCGCAAUGGGCGAAAGCCUGACGCAGCGACGCCGCGUGGGUGAUGAAGGCCUUCGGGUUGUAAAGCCCUGUGGGGAGAGACGAAUAAGUCGGAGCCAAUACCUCCGGCGAUGACGGUAUCUCCUUAGCAAGCACCGGCUAACUCUGUGCCAGCAGCCGCGGUAAGACAGAGGGUGCAAACGUUGUUCGGAAUUACUGGGCGUAAAGCGUGUGUAGGCGGCCGUGCAAGUCGGAUGUGAAAGCCCCGGGCUCAACCCGGGAAGUG
RNAcentral lists this ribosomal RNA (637 nucleotides) under uncultured bacterium. RNAcentral describes it as "bacterial SSU rRNA". It matches the Rfam family "Bacterial small subunit ribosomal RNA", at positions 8 to 623 of the family's 1533-position model. The record is from RNAcentral.